ACUCCGUGGACUCGAGGACACGCUGGCGGCGUGCCUAACACAUGCAAGUCGAACGGAGCAGAGACUUCGGUUUUUGCUUAGUGGCGAACGGGUGAGUAACGCGUGAGAAACCUGCCUUUCAGUGGGGGGACAACAGUUGGAAACGACUGCUAAUACCGCAUAACGUUAUUUGGGGGCAUCCCCGGGUAACCAAAGCUUUAUGUGCUGAAAGAUGGUCUCGCGUCUGAUUAGCUAGAUGGCGGGGUAACGGCCCACCAUGGCGACGAUCAGUAGCCGGUCUGAGAGGAUGAACGGCCACAUUGGGACUGAGAUACGGCCCAGACUCCUACGGGAGGCAGCAGUGGGGAAUAUUGGGCAAUGGGGGAAACCCUGACCCAGCAACGCCGCGUGAAGGAAGAAGGCCUUCGGGUUGUAAACUUCUUUUAGUAGGGACGAAUACGUGACGGUACCUACAGAAAAAGCAACGGCUAACUACGUG
Molecule: ribosomal RNA, 478 nt
Filed under: uncultured bacterium
Lineage: Bacteria
Description: bacterial SSU rRNA
Rfam family: Bacterial small subunit ribosomal RNA
Source: RNAcentral